AUUGAACGCUGGCGGCAGGCCUAACACAUGCAAGUCGAGCGGAUGAAGGGAGCUUGCUCCUGGAUUCAGCGGCGGACGGGUGAGUAAUGCCUAGGAAUCUGCCUGGUAGUGGGUGAUAACGUCCGGAAACGGGCGCUAAUACUGCAUACGUCCUGAGGGAGAAAGUGGGGGAUCUUCGGACCUCACGCUAUCAGAUGAGCCUAGGUGGGAUUAGCUAGUUGGUGGGGUAAAGGCCUACCAAGCCGACGAUCCGUUACUAGACGGGGAGGAUGAUCAGUCACAUUAGAACGUGAACAGGGUCCAGGGGCCUAAGGGACGGCGCAGAGGGGAAUAUUAGGCAAUAGGGGGAAGCCUUGCACAACCAGGGCGCGUGUGUGAAAGAAGUCUUCGGAUUGUAAAGCACUUUAAGUUGGGAGGAAGGGCAGUAAGUUAAUACCUUGCUGUUUUGACGUUACCAACAGAAUAAGCACCGGCUAACUUCGUG
Molecule: ribosomal RNA, 484 nt
Filed under: uncultured bacterium
Lineage: Bacteria
Description: partial 16S ribosomal RNA
Rfam family: Bacterial small subunit ribosomal RNA
Source: RNAcentral